GGUCAAUGGUGAGAACUCAUAUGGUCUCAAAGAGAGAUGAUGACAUAAAAAUCUUGCUCAAUAGGAUUAUGCUGAGGACC
This is a small nucleolar RNA of Prionailurus viverrinus (fishing cat), 80 nucleotides long. RefSeq annotates it as small nucleolar RNA SNORD115. Lineage: Eukaryota; Metazoa; Chordata; Mammalia; Carnivora; Felidae. The transcript has a single exon. The record is from RefSeq and is a predicted model, not a curated record.